Molecule: long non-coding RNA, 234 nt
Filed under: Capsicum annuum
Lineage: Eukaryota; Viridiplantae; Streptophyta; Magnoliopsida; Solanales; Solanaceae
Description: long non-coding RNA (CANN_LNC008459)
Source: RNAcentral
UUGGUGUAGAAACAAGGGCCAUAAACCAGGCUAUAACCAAAGAUUUUCCAAAACAUAAUACAUUUACUCCUAAAUUGAAAUAGGAUAGAACAAUGUCAAAUUAUAUCCGGUGAUGCCAGCCACCCAGUUUAUUCCAACGCCAAGACUGAUAAUAAUAUUGAUCUCACCCUUUCCAAUAGAUAGAUGUACACAGCCUCUAACCAAAAGAGUAAUGACAUUUAGUAGUGAGAUUAC